ACGAAAGGCGUAAACUUGAUUCAUAGUGUAUUUGUCAAAUGUUUAUAGCAAAUACCUUCUAAUAAACGAUCCGACGACUGUCGGUCUCUCUUGUGAUCCUGACAUCGAACGAACAACACGUAUCUCUACGAAGCUCCGAAACUUACAAGUAGCUCUUACUUAACUCUUUCACCGUUACGAUAAGUCUGCCCGCGAGUGUCCGCCUGCUAAAUCUUAAUCACCCUUUUUAAUCAAGUUAACGGCAUAUAAUACCCGAGGUCAUCAAAACUGUUAGCAAAGCCAUAUAUUUGCUUGAGGAAUGUUAUCAAACUGGAAUUCACAGUUUUACCUACAGCAAAUUUUUCCUGUCGUUUCAAUUAUGAUUUCCGCAUUCAAGAUCUUACCCAAGUCCGUAAGCUGCAAGACCCAGAAAUCAAAGAAAGAUCCCCAACACUCUCUCCGAAUACUUCCAUCAGAUGAAGAUCAGCAGUUCAUAACGAAAAAUGAUGACAUUUCAAUAGAAUAAUAAACAAUAAAAACGAUAUAUUCAUAUCGUUGAGUAAUAAAAUAACUUGUUGAGCAGUUUUCAAAAAUGAUGAUAUUUUUAAAGAAUAAUAAAUUCACUAGAGCUAAAUAUUUUAGCCAAUGUACAAAAAAAAACUCCUUCUAAAAGUUCAUCGAAGUAUUAGAUUUUGGUAUACUUUCGAAUUUUAAAUAAAAAGAUGUAUGAGAUUCAAAAGUAAGACUAAAUAAAAUUUCUCAUUUUUUAUUCAACAACAGUUAUUGAUGCAGAUUAUUCAAAAGAAUACGUUAUCCUACCAACUUUGCAAAACGUUGAAAACAAUAAUCAAUUUUAUCAAAUGAUCUUUCAAUAAACUAUUUGAAAAUAAGCUAUCAUCCAAGUUUCCGUUCAACUAAACGUCAUUCGAUGAAAAUAAAUGUUGCACAGCAAUUCUACCAAAUGUCCAUUCGACCGAAUGUCCUUUCGACCAAAUGUACUUUCGACUAAAUGUCAUUCGACCAAACGUCAUUCGACCAAAUGUCAUUCGACGAAAUGUCCUAAAGCCGGUUUAAGUAAUCCUUAUUAAGUAAAUAGCGAAAUGUUGGUGCUUGAAACAAAAUCAUGUUCCGCAGUGUUAUGAAAUUUAAAUUUCUAAAUUCAGUAACAAUUAAAUU
Aedes aegypti (yellow fever mosquito) is the source of this 1155-nucleotide long non-coding RNA. RefSeq lists it as uncharacterized. The transcript is spliced from 2 exons. The record is from RefSeq and is a predicted model, not a curated record. NCBI's taxonomy places the organism in Eukaryota, Metazoa, Arthropoda, Insecta, Diptera, Culicidae.